GGUGGUGAGGGGGCUGAUGAGGCCGUAGAGACCCCCGAGGGUGAUGCCGAUGGGCCAGCCGAAGAAAAGCAGCAGCAGCAGCCACACCAGGCACCACAAGCACGAACCGGCGUUUGCCAUCCUGCUCUGGAGCAAAUGUGCUCCUCAUUCUCUUCAUCGCUGUCGCUGUCCUGUCCGGGGUGCUCGGGCAUCUUGGCUGCUUCCUGCUUUGCUUCCCGCUCGCUGGCUUCUCCCUUAGACUUCACCACCUUCUCGCUUCCGUCUUGGCUCUCCGUCUCCAUGGCGCUCUGCUCCGGGAUCACAGCCACCAUCUCUUGCUCCUCCUUGGGGCCGGUAGGCGAGCUCUCUGCUGACUCGGCUUGCGACGGAGGCUUGGCGAGUUGCUGCUGCUGCUGUUGAAAAGGAAGAAAAAAAGUUGUUGGAUGGCGGAAGGUGGCUAUUUAUUGCUGCAUUAACAUUUUCCAAAAACUAAAAUAAAAUGGGAGACUUCAUAAUAA
Long non-coding RNA from Syngnathus acus (greater pipefish), 497 nucleotides. RefSeq lists it as uncharacterized. The transcript is spliced from 2 exons. Lineage: Eukaryota; Metazoa; Chordata; Actinopteri; Syngnathiformes; Syngnathidae. The record is from RefSeq and is a predicted model, not a curated record.